UGCCAGCAGCCGCGGUAACACGUAAGGUGCAAGCGUUGUUCAGAAUUAUUGGGCGUAAAGGGCUCGUAGGCGGCUGCCAAGUCCCACGUGAAAGACCAGGGCUCAACCCUGGGGGCGCGAGGGAAACUGGCAAGCUUGAAUCCUGGAGGGGGUACUGGAAUUCCUGGUGUAGGGGUGAAAUCUGUUGAUAUCAGGAAGAACACCGGGGGCGAAGGCGAGUACCUGGCCAAGGAUUGACGCUGAUGAGCGAAAGCGUAGGGAGCGAACAGGAUUAGAUA
RNAcentral lists this ribosomal RNA (278 nucleotides) under uncultured bacterium. Its description in RNAcentral is "partial 16S ribosomal RNA". It matches the Rfam family "Bacterial small subunit ribosomal RNA", at positions 506 to 784 of the family's 1533-position model. The record is from RNAcentral.